RNAcentral lists this ribosomal RNA (220 nucleotides) under uncultured bacterium. RNAcentral describes it as "partial 16S ribosomal RNA". It matches the Rfam family "Bacterial small subunit ribosomal RNA", at positions 794 to 1013 of the family's 1533-position model. The record is from RNAcentral.
UCCACGCCCUAAACGAUGUACACUAGUUGUUGUGAGGCUCGACCUUGCAGUAAUGCAGUUAACACAUUAAGUGUACCGCCUGGGGAGUACGGUCGCAAGAUUAAAACUCAAAGGAAUAGACGGGGACCCGCACAAGCGGUGGAGCAUGUGGUUUAAUUCGACGAUACACGAAGAACCUUACCUGGACUUGACAUAGUAAGAACUUUCUAGAGAUAGAUUG